This 586-nucleotide long non-coding RNA is filed under the name Bos taurus (domestic cattle). Its description in RNAcentral is "long non-coding RNA NONBTAT006268". Lineage: Eukaryota; Metazoa; Chordata; Mammalia; Artiodactyla; Bovidae. The record is from RNAcentral.
CCAAAUUAGAGUUUUUACAUAAAUUUCAAACCUUUCAAUUUCAUCCUUCUCUGAUGGCAAUUUUCAUUUUCAUGUGAUUUUGGCAAAUAUUCCCAUUUUUAGUUUGGGAGACAUAAAAACAGUGGUGUCAGGUGACCUCUUGGCCACUACUAACUCAGCUGGCUCCUCAUCCAGAAAGACUUGUUGGCUUUAGAAAGAAGCAGAGUGAAUCUCCAAGUACAAAGAGUUUUCUACCCAGAAAAUUUAUUCAAUGUCAUUUUCUUUAACUAUAGCACCAGCUACCUUCCACUGUCCACCUAUGUGUAGGGAACAUACUUGGGCUUAAUUAUCUGAACAUUCUUAGAGCCUUAAAUAUUAGAGCUACAAUUAUGUGUUUUGUCUGUACCUUUCAAUUAAGUCAAAUAUAGUUAAAGAAUAAUGCAAUGGCUAAUUGUUUUGCAUCUGAAUGUAUUAGUCUUCUAGUCUCACUUUAUAUAUCACUGUGAUUAUUAACUAAUAUGUAGAAAAAUGUCUUAUGUGGAAAAACUACUAUGAUCAGUUAUGUAAAAUAGAGCUUUUCCACAUAAUGUCUAAUGUGGAAAAACUC